CUCGUAGGCGGCCAACUAAGUCAGACGUGAAAUCCCUCGGCUUAACCGGGGAACUGCGUCUGAUACUGGAUGGCUUGAGGUUGGGAGAGGGAUGCGGAGUUCCAGGUGUAGCGGUGAAAUGCGUAGAUAUCUGGAGGAACACCGGUGGCGAAGGCGGCAUCCUGGACCAAAUCUGACGCUGAGGAGCGAAAGCCAGGGGAGCAAACG
This 207-nucleotide ribosomal RNA is filed under the name uncultured bacterium. RNAcentral describes it as "partial 16S ribosomal RNA". It matches the Rfam family "Bacterial small subunit ribosomal RNA", at positions 568 to 774 of the family's 1533-position model. The record is from RNAcentral.